GAUGAACGCUAGCUGCAGGCUUAACACAUGCAAGUCGAGGGGUAACAAGAGGAAAGCUUGCUUUUCUUGUUGACGACCGGCGCACGGGUGAGUAACGCGUAUCCAACCUGCCUAUAACUAGGGAAUAACCUUGCGAAAGUAAGACUAAUACCCUAUGAUUUCCUUUGAUGACAUCCGAGUAGGAAUAAAGAUUUAUAGGUUAUAGAUGGGGAUGCGUCUGAUUAGCUUGUUGGCGGGGUAACGGCCCACCAAGGCAACGAUCAGUAGGGGUUCUGAGAGGAAGGUCCCCCACAUUGGAACUGAGACACGGUCCAAACUCCUACGGGAGGCAGCAGUGAGGAAUAUUGGUCAAUGGGCGGAAGCCUGAACCAGCCAAGUAGCGUGCAGGAUGACGGCCCUAUGGGUUGUAAACUGCUUUUAUACAGGAAUAAAGUUAGCCACGUGUGGUUAUUUGUAGGUACUGUAUGAAUAAGGACCGGCUAAGUCCAUGCCAGCCGCCGCUGUAA
Molecule: ribosomal RNA, 506 nt
Filed under: uncultured bacterium
Lineage: Bacteria
Description: partial 16S ribosomal RNA
Rfam family: Bacterial small subunit ribosomal RNA
Source: RNAcentral